UACUCGAGUGGCGAACGGGUGAGUAACACGUGGGUGAUCUGCCCUGCACUUCGGGACAAGCCUGGGAAACUGGGUCUAAUACCGGAUAGGAGCCAUUUUAGUGUGAUGGUUGGAAAGUUUUUUCGGUGUAGGAUGAGCUCGCGGCCUAUCAGCUUGUUGGUGGGGUAAUGGCCUACCAAGGCGGCGACGGGUAGCCGGCCUGAGAGGGUGGACGGCCACAUUGGGACUGAGAUACGGCCCAG
Molecule: ribosomal RNA, 242 nt
Filed under: uncultured Actinomycetales bacterium
Lineage: Bacteria; Bacillati; Actinomycetota; Actinomycetes; Actinomycetales
Description: partial 16S ribosomal RNA
Rfam family: Bacterial small subunit ribosomal RNA
Source: RNAcentral